Lolium rigidum is the source of this 1944-nucleotide long non-coding RNA. RefSeq lists it as uncharacterized. The record is from RefSeq and is a predicted model, not a curated record. The transcript has 6 exons. Lineage: Eukaryota; Viridiplantae; Streptophyta; Magnoliopsida; Poales; Poaceae.
CAGUGUACUGGUUUUCUCUUCAGUUUUGUCGGUCCUGUUGGUUGCAGGUUGUUUGCUGCAAACCGUUGAUGCGCCCAUUUGUCUGACAGGAUGCUCGCCGUCUACUAUUCCUCUAUUCAUUUGCUGGAGCUGAUUGCAUCCCACUGUCAACUGCCAUACCAUUCCUACCUGCGUGAGGUGGACAGUGAUGGUUCUGUCCUUGGAGGCGUGGAGCCUGAGAUCCUGUUUGCGGUGCAUCCUUUUACUCUCGGUACAAAGUGAGCAGGCCAGCAUCGCUCACCAUGGAUGACCCAUGAACCAACGGCCAGCAAUCCGCAGGACCUGCAUCAUCGAAAAACAAACCACAGCGAUGCGCUGCAAAGGUUACAGACUACAUCUUCCACUCAUGAUCACGUAAUAAAUGUGUAGAGAAUUUAUAUUAAUCUCGAACUCCAUCUAGGUUAUACUGUGUGGGUACUAUUUGUGGUGCUAAUAAAAAUGAAGUUAACAUGUGUUAUUCUUUACAUUGGCUUCCUAUUUGAGCACCAUUGAUAACCAUUGUACAAAGAGUUGUCCUCUGCUGCUAUUAUUAUUAUUCCUUUAUUUAGUGUUUCCUUCCAUCAUUCAGCGUACAUUAGAACACUGGCAAUCACUUUCAUGUGUACAUCUACCUCUUUAGCUCAGGACAGUAGUAUCUCUUCUAAAUCUGAAAGAUGUUUUCCUACUUAGCACUGUUUCAGGAAUUUAGGAUUCUUGGUGUCUGCAAUGAUACAUGUCCUCUCAUCAAAUUCCGAAUUUUUACUACUUUAGAGUGGUUUUAAAAAAUGGAGUAAGUUUACAGAUUUAUGCACAUAGAUGGCACUCAGUUUAGUAAAACAUGAUUAGCAAUAUCAAAAUGGGAAAAUAAAAGUCUGAAAUCUAAUAAGAAGAAUGGUCAUUACUUGACUCAUCAUGAUAUUAUACACGUGUUAUGUUCAGUUAAUAGGCCACUUUCAGGAUCAUAAUUUGGUGCUUUGGAUAGUUCCAAUUUCCUGCUUUUUAUACGAUCCAUUACUUAUUUUGUUACAUAGCCUAGCGUAUUUGUUUCAACUCUUCCCUAAGUCGUUCAGACUCUGAAAUGAUUUUGUUACCGUGGACCAUCUACAAGCUGAGCAUGCCAUUUAGGUACGAAUUGUCAAAAUAAUAGGUGUAUUAAUUUCCUACGUGGAUGUCUGAACAUAGCUUCAAUCAAAACAUAUUUAGCUAUUGCUAAAAUAACAACUACAGCUCAGUAACAAAUUUACUUUGAUCGACAUGGUAUUCACAUGCUCCCUGAUAUGGCUACUCUUGUUUGUUUUUGGCAAUACCGGUGUCCUCUUUCAUAAAUCGAGGGUGCUGACGAAGAUUACUGCCCAGCUCCAUGAGUGUCGUUAAGAUCCCUUGCAAUAUAAUGUUUAACAUUAUACUGGUGGACCUAGGGCUUCCAAAGGCAAGAUACAGCUCACAUACAUGGGGAUGGCAAAGUUUCUUCCAUUGUUACGUUCUAUAGUCCCUCACAUAUGCCUGGGAAGUUGCUUCAGUUAUUAAAAAUGGGUGACGCUCAAGCUGCUGAUUCUAAGAUGGCAAGUACUAUGUACAUCGAUUGAUCCAGGAAAAUUCAGGGAACUACAGACUCUUGCUCAGAUGUGUGCAGAUUCCAAUCACAAUGAUGAGCCAUCCGACCAUGCUAGCAGGGCAAAGCGACAUGUUUUUUGGAACAAGCUUGAUGGAAACCAUCGGGAUCCCGGCCAGUGCCACGAUGGAACCUAUGCUGAAGAAGCAUCACCAUCCAAGCACGAAAGCCGUGCUAUUUUCGCUACCUAUAUGUAGUGCAUGUAUAAGGCAUAGAUCUUACACUUUUUUACUAUAUUUUGGUUGCACACUGCCACUGCCCUCCUUAUACUUUUGCAUCUAUUUAUAUAUUUAUAUGUUUAUUUUUUGCUACAA